AUGUUAGAGUUAGAGCUCUCUAGUAGUAAGUUACUACUAAAUAGUUGUAAAUAUCCAAGCAGCAAUAAAAGAAGUAUAACUAUGGCUCUCUGUAACAGAUGGGAGGAUACAGUGGAAAUGACUUCAGGGCUGCUGGCUAUAGAUCUGAGCAAUGAAGUUUUGAUGGUUUGAAUCUUUUGUGUUUGGUAAAUGAAAAGGGAGCUUUAUAUUGUGGUUUAA
RNAcentral lists this long non-coding RNA (219 nucleotides) under Vulpes vulpes (red fox). RNAcentral describes it as "lncRNA (ENSVVUG00000012116.1)". The record is from RNAcentral. Lineage: Eukaryota; Metazoa; Chordata; Mammalia; Carnivora; Canidae.